CUGCUGGUAAAGGUCAUUACGUAUUACUUUACUUACCGGAGGAAAAGAAACCAACAGGGAUUGCCCUAGUAACGGCGAGUGAAGCGGCAACAGCUCAAAUUUGAAAUCUGGCCCUCGGGUCCGAGUUGUAAUUUGUAGAGGAUGCUUUGGGUGCGGUGCCUUCCGAGUUCCCUGGAACGGGACGCCAUAGAGGGUGAGAGCCCCGUCUGGUUGGACACCAAGCCUCUGUAAAGCUCCUUCGACGAGUCGAGUAGUUUGGGAAUGCUGCUCUAAAUGGGAGGUAUAUGUCUUCUAAAGCUAAAUACCGGCCAGAGACCGAUAGCGCACAAGUAGAGUGAUCGAAAGAUGAAAAGCACUUUGAAAAGAGGGUUAAAUAGUACGUGAAAUUGUUGAAAGGGAAGCGCUUGUGACCAGACUUGAGCCCGGUUAAUCAUCCAGCCUUCUGGCUGGUGCACUUGGCCGGCUCAGGCCAGCAUCAGUUCGGCGUGGGGGAUAAAGACUUCGGGAAUGUGGCUCCUUCGGGAGUGUUAUAGCCCGUUGUGUAAUACCCUGUACUGGACUGAGGUUCGCGCAUCUGCAAGGAUGCUGGCGUAAUGGUCAUCAGCGACCCGUCUUGAAACACGGACCAAGGAGUCGUCCUCGUAUGCGAGUGUUCGGGUGUCAAACCCCUACGCGUAAUGAAAGUGAACGCAGGUGAGAGCUUCGGCGCAUCAUCGACCGAUCCUGAUGUUCUCGGACGGAUUUGAGUAAGAGCAUACGGGGCCGGACCCGAAAGAAGGUGAACUAUGCCUGUAUAGGGUGAAGCCAGAGGAAACUCUGGUGGAGGCUCGCAGCGGUUCUGACGUGCAAAUCGAUCGUCAAAUAUGGGCAUGGGGGCGAAAGACUAAUCGAACCUUCUAGUAGCUGGUUUCCGCCGAAGUUUCCCUCAGGAUAGCAGUGUUGAACUCAGUUUUAUGAGGUAAAGCGAAUGAUUAGGGACUCGGGGG
RNAcentral lists this ribosomal RNA (986 nucleotides) under Cosmospora coccinea. RNAcentral's name for it is "LSU rRNA". It matches the Rfam family "Eukaryotic large subunit ribosomal RNA", at positions 1 to 1035 of the family's 3401-position model. Lineage: Eukaryota; Fungi; Ascomycota; Sordariomycetes; Hypocreales; Nectriaceae. The record is from RNAcentral.